RNAcentral lists this ribosomal RNA (748 nucleotides) under uncultured soil bacterium. RNAcentral describes it as "bacterial SSU rRNA". It matches the Rfam family "Bacterial small subunit ribosomal RNA", at positions 32 to 769 of the family's 1533-position model. The record is from RNAcentral.
AACGCUAGCGGGAUGCUUUACACAUGCAAGUCGAACGGCAGCGCGAGAGAGCUUGCUCUCUUGGCGGCGAGUGGCGGACGGGUGAGUAAUAUAUCGGAACGUGCCCAGUAGGGGGGGAUAACUACUCGAAAGAGUGGCUAAUACCGCAUACGCCCUACGGGGGAAAGGGGGGGAUCGCAAGACCUCUCACUAUUGGAGCGGCCGAUAUCGGAUUAGCUAGCUGGUGGGGUAAAGGCUCACCAAGGCAACGAUCCGUAGCUGGUUUGAGAGGACGACCAGCCACACUGGGACUGAGACACGGCCCAGACUCCUACGGGAGGCAGCAGUGGGGAAUUUUGGACAAUGGGGGAAACCCUGAUCCAGCCAUCCCGCGUGUAUGAUGAAGGCCUUCGGGUUGUAAAGUACUUUUGGCAGAGAAGAAAAGGUAUCUCCUAAUACGAGAUACUGCUGACGGUAUCUGCAGAAUAAGCACCGGCUAACUACGUGCCAGCAGCCGCGGUAAUACGUAGGGUGCAAGCGUUAAUCGGAAUUACUGGGCGUAAAGCGUGUGUAGGCGGUUCGGAAAGAAAGAUGUGAAAUCCCAGGGCUCAACCUUGGAACUGCAUUUUUAACUGCCGAGCUAGAGUAUGUCAGAGGGGGGUAGAAUUCCACGUGUAGCAGUGAAAUGCGUAGAUAUGUGGAGGAAUACCGAUGGCGAAGGCAGCCCCCUGGGAUAAUACUGACGCUCAGACACGAAAGCGUGGGGAGC